This 1818-nucleotide long non-coding RNA is filed under the name Ornithorhynchus anatinus (platypus). RNAcentral's name for it is "lncRNA (ENSOANG00000045475.1)". Lineage: Eukaryota; Metazoa; Chordata; Mammalia; Monotremata; Ornithorhynchidae. The record is from RNAcentral.
UAUUAUUAUUGUUAACUGCUCUCUAUGUCUCAAGCACCUUUGUAAGUGAUGGGGUAGAUAAGAGUCAAUUAGUCUGGACACAUUCUCUUUUCCAUUUGGGGCUCACCAUCUAAGUAGGAGGGAGAACAGGCUUUUUAUUUACUUAUUUAUUUUUUAUGGUAAUUGUAAAGUGCUUACUAUGUGCCAGGCACUAUACUAAAUGGCUCAGUGGAAAGAGCCUGGGCUUGGGAGUCAGAGGUCAUGGGUUCGACUCCCGGCUCUGCCACUUGUCAGCUGUGUGACUGUGGGCAAGUCACUUAACUUCUCUGUGCCUCAGUUACCUCAUCUGUAAAAUGGGAAUUAACUGUGAGCCUCACGUGGGACAACCUGAUUACCCUGUAUCUACCCCAGCGCUUAGAACAGUGCUCUGCACAUAGUAAGCGCUUAACAAAUACCAACAUUAUUAUUACAAGCUGAGUCCCUGUCCCUCAUGGCGUUCAAAGUCUUACUACCUAUUUUACAGAUGAGAAAACUGAUACACCCAGAAGUUAAGUGCCUUGUCCAAGGUCACACAGUAAACAUUUAGCAGAGCUGGCAUUAGAACCCAGGUCCUCUGACUCCCAGGCCCGGACUCUAUCCAUUAGGCUAUGCUCCUUGUCAUUUCUUCCAUGCCCAGAUACUUAGUUCCUUCUAGAGAGGGAAGGGUCACGUGGGCUGGGUGAGGGGAUCUCAGGAAUCCACCUACCAGCCCCUCCCCUGAGAGCUCAAACAGCACAGGGAAAGGGGAAAGGGGUGGGGUGGGCCUCAGUUAUCGCUAGGUUAUGACACAUGAGGAUGUUUAUUUCAAAUCCAUUCUUCCUGAGGAAAGAAGACGAUUGGUUGGUGUCACCUACAAAAGUGAUCCUGGCUGUGCUGCUGGUUCUGACCUCUCUCUUUUAUCUCAUCGGGAAGCUGAACGCUGCAUUCUUCUGCUUCUUUUGCGGAUUCCUGCCUAUCCUGGGCCUGAUGGCUGGUGUGAUCGUCUACUUCAUCUAGAAACUUCCUGAGGAAAAAUCAUUUUGUGGGAAAAAAUAUGUAAGGUAAAGGACCUGGGAAGGAGCCACAGUCCUUUAGAGAGAGGCGGGAAGGCAAUAAUAAUGAUAAUAAUUAUGGUAUUUCUUAAGACUGUAAGCUCAGUGUGGAAAAGAAAUGUGUCUGUUUAUUGUUGUACUCUCCCAAACACUUAAUGCAAUGCUUUGCACACAGUAAGUUCUCAAUAAAAAUGAUAGAAUGAAUGAAGGAAUGAAUAAGUGCUUACUAUGUGCCAGGCAGUGUCCCGAGCGCUGGGGUGAAUACAAGCAAAUUGGGUUGGACACAGUCCUUGUCCCAAAGUUUCCAUCUCCAUUUUACAGAUGAGGUAAUUGAGGCACAAAGAAGUGAAAUGACUUGCCCAAGCUUACACAGCAGACAGGUGGUGGAGCCUGUAUUAGAACCCAUGACCUUCUAAUUUCCAGGCCCGUGCUCUAUCCAUUAAGCCAUUCUAUCAAUAAUUCUCAGACACCUGAAGGGAUCGGGCCCCCUUCCCUGCCCCCUCUCCCAUGUCAGUGGCAGGAGGACACGUGGGUUGGGGGAUGGGGAUGGGCUCGGCCUCUCUGAGUGGCUUGACAGCAAAGCUGUCCUUUUUAUGUGAUGGUCAGCAGGGCUGUUGAAUUUCCCCUUAUUUUCUCAUUCUUGUUCAUCAUCUAGAGAAGCAGGAUGGCUUAAUAAUAGUAAUAAUGAUGGUAUUUGUUUGGAGAAGCAGUGUGGCUCAGUGGAAAGAGCACGGGCUUUGGAGUCAGAGGUCAUGGGUUCGAAUCCCAG